RNAcentral lists this long non-coding RNA (233 nucleotides) under Nicotiana benthamiana. RNAcentral describes it as "long non-coding RNA (NBEN_LNC012058)". Lineage: Eukaryota; Viridiplantae; Streptophyta; Magnoliopsida; Solanales; Solanaceae. The record is from RNAcentral.
GACGAGUUCUUCAAAUUCUAGGGUUUUCCGACUUUCGGACCUAGAGUUUUGGUGUUAUCCGAUGACUUUUUCUUCGCUUGAUGGACGUUUUGGGUGAUUUUCCGGCGUCUAUGACCUUACUCCGGUGAGUUUCAGAACCUAGGGUUUCCGGUGUUGGACCUAGGGUUUUCUUUGUUGAUUGAAGGUCGAUUAUCUUCGGUCGCGAAGAAGGAGGGUAACUCUGUCCUUAUUUU